GGCAGGCAAAAUCCUAUCACCACCUCCUUGUGGUGCCAGCUGGAUACGACUCGUUGGAACUAAAGGUGAAGG
Molecule: ribozyme, 72 nt
Filed under: Lepisosteus oculatus (spotted gar)
Lineage: Eukaryota; Metazoa; Chordata; Actinopteri; Semionotiformes; Lepisosteidae
Description: drz-agam-1 ribozyme
Rfam family: drz-agam-1 ribozyme
Source: Rfam by way of RNAcentral